RNAcentral lists this ribosomal RNA (643 nucleotides) under Fusarium acaciae-mearnsii. RNAcentral's name for it is "eukaryotic LSU rRNA". It matches the Rfam family "Eukaryotic large subunit ribosomal RNA", at positions 1 to 654 of the family's 3401-position model. The record is from RNAcentral. Lineage: Eukaryota; Fungi; Ascomycota; Sordariomycetes; Hypocreales; Nectriaceae.
AACUUCUGAAUGUUGACCUCGGAUCAGGUAGGAAUACCCGCUGAACUUAAGCAUAUCAAUAAGCGGAGGAAAAGAAACCAACAGGGAUUGCCCUAGUAACGGCGAGUGAAGCGGCAACAGCUCAAAUUUGAAAUCUGGCUUUCGGGCCCGAGUUGUAAUUUGUAGAGGAUGAUUUUGAUGCGGUGCCUUCCGAGUUCCCUGGAACGGGACGCCAUAGAGGGUGAGAGCCCCGUCUGGUUGGAUGCCAAAUCUCUGUAAAUCUCCUUCGACGAGUCGAGUAGUUUGGGAAUGCUGCUCUAAAUGGGAGGUAUAUGUCUUCUAAAGCUAAAUACCGGCCAGAGACCGAUAGCGCACAAGUAGAGUGAUCGAAAGAUGAAAAGCACUUUGAAAAGAGAGUUAAAAAGUACGUGAAAUUGUUGAAAGGGAAGCGUUUAUGACCAGACUUGGGCUUGGUUAAUCAUCUGGGGUUCUCUCCAGUGCACUUUUCCAGCCCAGGCCAGCAUCAGUUUUCGCCGGGGGAUAAAGGCUUCGGGAAUGUGGCUCCCCUCGGGGAGUGUUAUAGCCCGUUGUGUAAUACCCUGGUGGGGACUGAGGUUCGCGCUUCUGCAAGGAUGCUGGCGUAAUGGUCAUCAACGACCCGUCU